UGCUGCCGGUACUAACAGGAAAUCCCAAACCUCCUUCCACNGCAAAAGACUAUGUGAAGAGCCANCAGGUGUUUUGAAUCCUAGACAGUCUUCAAGCCCUGUUCAAACCCAGCAAAAACUUUCAAACCAAUUAGGAAGCAAGAUAAAUGAAACACAUUACUAAGCAGGUACUGGCACGUGCUUUGUGAACAAGAGAGGAAGCCAAGUAAUUUGUCUGACAUCCCAGCUUUGAAAAACUACCUCCCCACUAAAAAAAAUAAAAUAAAAAAGUUGUCAUUCAUUGCAAUCUAAAAUUUCACAAAGUGCAGUGAGUACAGCUGGAUUCUGAAUUUCUGAUAGAAGCUGUGAAGAAAAGGGUCAUUAUUUUGGGACACCCCAGGCAGACCAUGGGCAUCGGGAACAUCUAAAGAAUUAUACUUUGCGCAAGCAAAACAAAGGUGUCAGUGCCAGGUUGUCAGUCACAUUGUAGAUGACAUCACUCAGACAUCUGCUUUACAGAUGGACUUCUAAGUUGUGACCAGCACUGCCUGACCUCAGGAGAACAGUUUGGAAAGUCUCUGUUGAAACUUUACAGAGGAUCCCAGUGGGUCUAAAUGCAAGAACGGAUUCAGUGAUUUUGGGAAAGAUCUAAAUNCCACAUGGACUAUAUUUUCCACAUACUUGACUGCAAUGAGUUCUGUAUGUGCAUAUGAUUGUUGGUCACCGGUAACUCUGCCUUUCUGACAUGUUGGAAAAACAACAUUGGUUCCUACGGCAUCCUUACAGUCUUCAGUGUUUUUAUCAAUAAGGAAAAAAAACCUUAUUCCCUCCAUGUAAUGCUCAUAUAGUU
RNAcentral lists this long non-coding RNA (829 nucleotides) under Salvator merianae (Argentine black and white tegu). RNAcentral's name for it is "lncRNA (ENSSMRG00000009992.1)". Lineage: Eukaryota; Metazoa; Chordata; Lepidosauria; Squamata; Teiidae. The record is from RNAcentral.